GACGAACGCUGGCGGCGUGCCUAAUACAUGCAAGUAGAACGCUGAAGGAGGAGCUUGCUUCUCCGGAUGAGUUGCGAACGGGUGAGUAACGCGUAGGUAACCUGCCUGGUAGCGGGGGAUAACUAUUGGAAACGAUAGCUAAUACCGCAUAACAGUAGAUAUUGCAUGAUAUCUGCUUGAAAGGUGCAAUUGCAUCACUACCAGAUGGACCUGCGUUGUAUUAGCUAGUUGGUGAGGUAACGGCUCACCAAGGCGACGAUACAUAGCCGGCCUGAGAGGGGGAUCGGCCACACUGGGACUGAGACACGGCCCAGACUCCUAAGGGAGGCAGCAGUAGGGAAUCUUCGGCAAUGGACGGAAGUCUGACCGAGCAACGCCGCGUGAGGGAAGAAGGGUUUCGGAUCGUAAAGCUCUGUUGUAAGAGAAGAACGAGUGUGAGAGUGGAAAGUUCACACUGUGACGGUAUCUUACCAGAAAGGGACGGCUAACUACGUG
RNAcentral lists this ribosomal RNA (495 nucleotides) under uncultured bacterium. RNAcentral's name for it is "partial 16S ribosomal RNA". It matches the Rfam family "Bacterial small subunit ribosomal RNA", at positions 28 to 507 of the family's 1533-position model. The record is from RNAcentral.